This 253-nucleotide ribosomal RNA is filed under the name uncultured bacterium. RNAcentral describes it as "partial 16S ribosomal RNA". It matches the Rfam family "Bacterial small subunit ribosomal RNA", at positions 524 to 776 of the family's 1533-position model. The record is from RNAcentral.
UACGGAGGGUGCGAGCGUUGUCCGGAAUCAUUGGGCGUAAAGGGCGCGUAGGUGGCGCGGUAAGCGUGCGGUGAAAGCCUGGGGCUCAACCCCGGGUCGGCCGUGCGAACUGCUGGGCUUGAGCACUGUAGAGGCAGGCGGAAUUCCGGGUGUAGCGGUGGAAUGCGUAGAGAUCCGGAGGAACACCGGUGGCGAAGGCGGCCUGCUGGGCAGUUGCUGACACUGAGGCGCGACAGCGUGGGGAGCAAACAGG